Molecule: ribosomal RNA, 253 nt
Filed under: uncultured bacterium
Lineage: Bacteria
Description: partial 16S ribosomal RNA
Rfam family: Bacterial small subunit ribosomal RNA
Source: RNAcentral
UACAGAGGGUGCAAGCGUUAUCCGGAAUCACUGGGUUUAAAGGGAGCGUAGGCGGACUUUUAAGUCAGUGGUGAAAGCUUGCAGCUUAACUGUAAAAUUGCCAUUGAAACUGAAAGUCUCGAGUAUGGUUGAGGUGACUGGAAUAUAUCAUGUAGCGGUGAAAUGCUUAGAUAUGAUAUAGAACACCAAUUGCGAAGGCAGGUCACUAAACCAUAACUGACGCUGAGGCUCGAAAGCGUGGGGAUCAAACAGG